GUGGAUUGUGGCCAUUCUAACAGGAGUAUCAAGUCCAAAAUGAAGCUCUUCAAACCAUCUGGGAAGAGAAAACAGCAUGACAAGGAAAGGUGUAUUUGUCUGAUCCCAGUAAUCAAUAUAAACAUCAAUGAUAACCCCACCUAUUUUUUUAAAUGUAUGAUUUGGAUGAAACAAGAGAAAGAGACUGAUUGUUGCUGAGUCCCUGCUGCAGUCCUGACACAGCUCUCCUUAUUUUGUUGAUGCUCAUGAGGACCCUGAUGUCUGAGGAAGAAGGUUCCCGUCCAGCUCUGCCCCUGGUGUGUCACAUGCCGGCCUUGUCAACGCACACGAGAACCUGACAGGGUGAGUGUUAUAACCCAGUCAUAGAAAAGGAAACUGGCUCUAAAGUGUAUGGCAUCUUGCCCAAGUUCUGACACUUAGCAGAGGCCUGAGUUUAAAUACAGCCUCGUCUUGCUCUUCGACAGCCUCAGCACCACAUGCCCUGGGUGGCCCACGCAGUGAGUCACUGACAGCCCUCGUGGUUGGCCCGUGGCACAGCAUGGAGCGAAAUGGUCCAGUGACCUUUUCAGACACUCGGGCAAUGCGUGGUAUAGUGUAUGUGGUCACUCCCAGUGAGUCCUAUUGUUCAGUUUAAUAGAAUAUCUAAUUCUAUGUUUAUUCUGAAUAAAGGGAGAUUUCUUGUGGUUUUUAAGAAUAUGAAGCAUAUCUAUUUUGCCUACAAGUUGGAAGUUCCGAUACUGUAGGAAGCAUAAGUGCAGGUUAUAAUGAUGGGUUUUUUAUAAGACUGAAUUCACAUCAAACUGAAUCAGUAACUCCAGCUGUAUGAACAGGGUGAAACAUUAAACAUUUAAUGAAAACAAUUCCUUUCUUAGGUCACAGCAAGGACUAAAUAUGUCCAAUUAUCAUGCCCACUAAGAAGAUGUAUUGUAAUAUUUGCAGUUAAUCACUCAUUCACUUCAAAGGGUGUUUAUUAAUUGUCUGCUCUGGGCAUAACAUUAAUUGGAAGCAGUGUGUUCACAUGGAAACAAAACUUACCUGAGACUCUCAGUCACAACUUUCCAUGACCAGUACACGUUUCUAAUUUGAAAUACAUAUCUAAGGCUUCAAAUGCAUAAAUAGGUAUCCCAAUGUAGAACUAAGUCAAUAGUUGCUUUGAAUUAAUUGUUUAAAUUAACCUGGGAAUCGGAAAGAUAUGUCUCCAUGAAACAAUAAAGGCUGUGUUAGAAUUAGUAAACUUUAGAAGAGCAUUUUAAUCCUAAUAUAUAAACAUACUACCUAGGCACACUGUUUAAAUACAUCUGCAACCUACUAUUUUUAGAUUUAAGAAAAUCAUUAAACCUUAAAUUUGGAAAAGAUUCCAGUGUUAGACCUCUAGACUAUGAAACUUGAAUGUUUUUCUAAACUCUUUGAGUUUUAUCCAGAAAUACAGAUUUUCCUGGCACUGACAACUGCAAGAAAUUUCACUUGGAGUCUCCACAUAGUCAACCAUGUGAUGUUAACAUCAGUGUAAUAGAUACUAUCACAAACAUCCUGUGACUUUUAUAUUUUUUUUGUACUUUAAGUUCUGAUACAUGAGCAGAACGUGCAGGUUUGUUACACAGGUAUACACGUGCCAUGGUAGUUUGCUGCACCCAUCAACGCAUCAUCUACAUUAGGUGUUUCUCCUAAUGCUAUCCCUCUCCUAGGCCCCCACCCGCCCUGACAGGUCCCAGUGUGUGAUGUUCUCCUCCCUGUGUCCAUACAUUC
RNAcentral lists this long non-coding RNA (1746 nucleotides) under Homo sapiens (human). RNAcentral's name for it is "HSALNT0067298". The record is from RNAcentral. Lineage: Eukaryota; Metazoa; Chordata; Mammalia; Primates; Hominidae.